Molecule: unclassified non-coding RNA, 282 nt
Organism: Homo sapiens (human)
Lineage: Eukaryota; Metazoa; Chordata; Mammalia; Primates; Hominidae
Rfam family: Metazoan signal recognition particle RNA
About the family: The signal recognition particle (SRP) is a universally conserved ribonucleoprotein. It is involved in the co-translational targeting of proteins to membranes.
Source: Ensembl
GCCGGGUGUGAUGGCUCACACCUGUAAUCCCAGCACUUUGGGAGGCCGAGGCAGGUGGAUCACUUGAGGUCAGGAGUUCAAGACUAGCCUGGCCAAGAUGGCAAAACCCUGUCUCUACUAAAAAUACAAAAAUUAGCUGGGGGUGGUGGCGGACGCCUGUAAUCCCAGCUACUUGGGAGGCUGAGGCAGGAGAAUCACUUGAACCUGGGAGGCAGAGGUUGCAGUGAGCCAAGAUCACACAACUGUACUCCAGCCUGGGUGACAAAGCGAGACUCCGUCUCA